This 30-nucleotide non-coding RNA is filed under the name Mus musculus (house mouse). Lineage: Eukaryota; Metazoa; Chordata; Mammalia; Rodentia; Muridae. The record is from RNAcentral.
UUAUAGGAAAUGUUCCUUGUGCUGGAAUUC